GAGGCGAGGAAAGGUCUGUUGACAGUGCAGCCCAUUGGUUAAAGUCAAGGAGAAGCCCUGAUAGAGCUUAAGCUCGGGACGGGCACAGAAGCCAAUGAAUGGUAAAAGAGAGAGAGAGAGAGAGAGUGCUGGGAUUUUUUUUUUUUUUUGGCGUUGUUAUUUUUUCCCCAAAAAAUGCCAGGGCGAGGGAGGGAGGGCUACCCAGGAGCAACUUUCAGUAAGGGCGACUGAAGGCGGUGGGUGCUUUAAGGCACAUGCGCAGUGCGCCUCCUUAGUCCUGGCCACCGUCAACCCCCCCUGGCGUACAACGACGAAGCAAACAGGAAUGCCAUUUUUAAUUAGCAAUUACGGGUGGCUUCUAUUUGUUUGGCAUCGGGAGGUUCUCCUUCGGCUUGCUGUUGAUUUCUCCUCCCACCCCCUCAGGUUCACCUUGCCGACAUCUGGCUUAUGGUGGCUUUGCUCGAAGCGUUGUUUUUUGUUUUUGUUUUUUGGGGGAAAGGAAAACGCGGAUUUAUUUCUAGAAGUUGGUCCUCCCACAUUUUUAGAGUGUGCCUCUCUUACUGGGUCCGCCUCACUUCACCUGCCUACCUUCGGCUCGCACCCCCCCCCCUUUCUCUCCCCCGCCCAUCGCUCUCUUUGUGUGAAAAAUGCUGUUCGGUGUAACAAUGUACCUUGUGCUUCCACGGGCUUUGAUAAUCGCCUGCUGUGAUGAUUUGCUUACGAAAUGUUUAUGAAAUGUCCCUGUGAUAUAAGCCUGCUCUGUUUUGAUUGUUCCCAAUAACGUUCCAGUAGUCAUGGCUGGAUGGUUUGCAACCGUUUGAAAGCAGCUCACUUCAGGAAUCUUGACUUGGUUUCUUGGCUUUCUAAUUCUGAUUAAGAGGUGGCCCUUUAGCAAAGAAUUGUGACAGGCUCUAUCAAAAACCGUGCACUGUCUGAAUUAAAGCUGUUGAAAAUACUAUCACCCCUAUUUUUCUUUUGCUUGACUGGCUAUGUUUCCUCAAACCCUUUUAAUGUUGCUACUCCUCCUUUGAUUAUUUUUACAGACAGACAGACAGACAGACACUAUUUUAAUACAUAUAUUUUUAUAUGUUAUGAGGUUUUUAAAUAUUUGUAAGACUCCGAAGUAUCUUCUGUGCUUUUUAAUUGACUGUACCCCAUGCUUAUGCUGAUCUAUGACAGUAAUAAACAUUUGAUUUAAUUUGACCAUGAUGUGAUAUGGUCCAAAUUAUAUAUUUCCAUAUAUAACAAAGAGAUCCGAAUCAUAGGAUAAGAAAACGGCGAGGACCUAAGAUAAAAAAGGUGGGGGAGGGGAAACAAUGACUAAGGUCCCCAUUCUAGAGUUUUAUUACCAAACAGCUCCCCCUUCUCCUUAUGAAUACAAUAGGUGGAAAUGCAAGCCUUGGGGAAUGGCACCCUCCUGUUCGUCGGGGGGGGGGAUCUUUAGAGCCUUCAGUCUAACUCCUUAAUGAAAUAUUUAGCGUGUUCUGCAACCCCAGUUUAUAAAGGCCUGCCUGUGCCCCCCAUCCCCUCCCCCGGGUGGAAGUUGACUCCGAGCAGCCUGCGCGAGUCUUUGCGCGCGGGGGGGGGGUUCCCCCAGGAGACAAGGGGCUCCGACUGGAUCGUGCCGCGCCCGCCACAGAAACCGACCAAGGUGGCAAACGCCAAGUGCCUCUUUCUCUCCACCCCCACCCCAUGGGUUGGCAUUAAGAACUAAUCGAAUCCCAAGACGUCCGGUGUUUGCCAGCCAUCUUAUCCGUAGAGACAACAACAAUCGAAGCCAGCGGAUCGCCACCACGGCCACGACCAUCGUCACCACAUCCGCUUCUAGGUCCAAGGAAGAAAAGCCAGCAACGAAAUAUGCCCAGGGUAGGAGAGCACCUUCUGAAAAGGCAUUCCAUGGCUUACCUUCCCUGGAUCCUUGGCCUAAAUAAAAGAGGAUUGGGAUUAUAAAGAGUUCUUGUCACUUUGAAGACUGCCCAGGGGACUGAACUUCAGGACUGACCUCCAGUAUAGGAGAAAUGGGGAUGAAGAUGUUGACUAUCUUUCAUAUGAUACGUUCUAAUUAUUAUACUAGGAAACGAAGCAGAAGUUUCCAGAUCCAAUAUCAGUCCACCCAUUUGAAAUUCAUAUUUCUAUGCAGUGGUUAAUGUGCUCACUUCCGUACAUUUGGCUGCCAAAACCAGAGGAUUUUGUGAAAGCUGAUGUCAUCUUCUGCCCAAUGGACAGAAUCUCAGUUGCAUUUGAGCAAUAAAGUGUUCCAUUUCUUUCCCUCUCUCUCUCCUGCCUCUUCCUCUCUCCCCCACUUGUUAUUCCAUUGUUCCUUGGGUUAUGUUGUUGUUAUGGCAACAGCUAAGAUAAUAAACUUGUAAUAAACUUGGCAUCAAAUUUA
Molecule: long non-coding RNA, 2389 nt
Organism: Thamnophis sirtalis
Lineage: Eukaryota; Metazoa; Chordata; Lepidosauria; Squamata; Natricidae
Source: RefSeq, a predicted model, not a curated record